AGCUUAAUGUGUGUUAAUAUUAGGUGGCUUCUGCUCAAUGGGUUCCUAAAUAGCCGCAGUACUCUGACUGUGCAAAGGUAGCGUAAUAAGUUGACUUAUAAUUGAAGUCGUGUAUCAAAGAAUGCUUGGGCGAGAGCUGUCUCUUGAUUAGUUUCUUUAAAAAAUCUACUUAGUAAGUGAAAAUACUUACAGGUUUAAUAAAAGACGAGAAGACCCUAAAAAUUUAAAUUAAGGCCUUUGGCCACUGAGGCUAAAUUUUUGUUGGGGCGACAAAUUUACAAAACUAACUUAAUCUUAAUUUAAGACUAUAAAAAAAUUCUUUUAAUUGAAAAUAAAUUACUUUAGGGAUAACAGCAUAAUUUAUAUAUAAGUUUGUGACCUCGAUGUUGGAUUAAGGAAUAGUAAGACCAGGAGUCUUAUUAUCAGGUUCUGUUCGAACUUCUUACCCUUACAUG
RNAcentral lists this ribosomal RNA (455 nucleotides) under Zachrysia trinitaria. Its description in RNAcentral is "partial 16S ribosomal RNA". It matches the Rfam family "Archaeal large subunit ribosomal RNA", at positions 1920 to 2671 of the family's 2987-position model. The record is from RNAcentral. Lineage: Eukaryota; Metazoa; Mollusca; Gastropoda; Stylommatophora; Camaenidae.